Molecule: long non-coding RNA, 2735 nt
Organism: Corvus hawaiiensis (hawaiian crow)
Lineage: Eukaryota; Metazoa; Chordata; Aves; Passeriformes; Corvidae
Exons: 3
Source: RefSeq, a predicted model, not a curated record
CCGUGGUUCGUGCCGGGGCUGUCCGGGCGGGAAGCGGCGGCGGGAUCUGCUCUGGAGCCGGGAUUGCUCCUGGCUCCCGAAGGCGCCCCGCAGCUCGGGGAUGGCAGUGGCAAUCUUUGCAAACUGUGUGUUCUUUAUUAUAGUGAAAUUCUUACAUAUUCCGGAGAAGAGUAGGCUGAAAGCAUCCAUAAAAGAAAACGGUAGUCAAUUUUGUGCCUAAUCACAAAAAAUGUGACUAGAGCGUUCACUACAGAUGUUACAUUUGGAGCAGUGGAUGUGAACAAACAAGUCACAGCUGAGGCUGGAACUAAGUAGCAUCUAUGAGUCAUGUAAUUGCUAUAUUACUUAAAUAUAAACAAAUUAUUAAACCGUUACAUUUUUAGGACUGUAUUUACAAUUUACACACAAAUAUUUACAGAAUCUGUCAGUAUUUUAUUCUAAGGCAUCUGGCCUUCCUAGAAGAUUUUGCGUUCUCCUGUAGCUGUUGCUGCUGCAGUGAUUUUUCUCAAAGGUAUUUGAAUCUUUUUCACUAAAAAGUGAAAAAAACAUAGCUGGCACUUCUAGCACUCUGAAGCACCCACAAACAGAAUCCAGGUAUGGCUGUGUCACAGAAAAGCUCAUUAUCACCACUGGAAAACAUUAGUAAAAGGUUAGGUAGGAAAGGAAAGAUCAAUUCCAACCCCUUUUACUUUCACUCACAGGAACUCCUUGCCUGAGAAAUACACUUAAAACUCAAGAGAAUAUCUUAAAAUAUGUGAUUCCAGGUUUUUACUAUCCCACAUGUUUUGUGAAGUCCCUGGCACUUUUAGUUAUUUUCAGCUCCUUUUUAUAUUUUUUCUUAGGUAAGAUAAAAUGCUGCAGAGGUGAAAUGCAAAGCCUUCACAUGACUCAUCUGUCCAUCCAAUGUUGAAAUUGAUUAAAAUAAGUAAGAUGACAGAUAAUAUUUUCUUUCCAGCAAUGAUGUCUUUUCUUAUUCUUCCUUUUCAUCAGUGCUGCUUAGUUUUAAUGUAUUCGUUUGGGGAUUUCUUUCUGAUGACUGCAAUGAUACAGCACCUCCCUCAAGGAAAGAAGGAAAGUGCUUCUUAUUUGUGCAAACCUUUCUUUCCCUAGUGGAAACACUUUAACUUCUUCAGGCGUUUCAUUGUUCCAUUUUUGAAAACCUUUGUUUUUUAUAGCAUCUCUGUUCUUAGCAAGGACAGUGUGUACUUCUGGUUUACAUAUUCUUUUUAAUUCUAGUACUUCUCACAAACUGAUGGUGGCAUUGAUGACUCUAAAAGAUUAUAUCUGUGAUUUUUUUUUUUUUAUUUGGAAUCAGUGCUGUUUGCAGAAGAGUAAAUUGAAUAAGAACAUGAAACCAUCAAAUUCCCUUUUCAGUUUUUCAUGUGAUACCUGGGUUAUAGGUAAAGGACAGGGAAAUUUCACUUUUCAGGCAUUAAAAAUAAAUGACACAUAUAUUUGUUAAAACUCUAAAUUACGGCUAUAUUCUGCUUUUAUUCCAAAAGAAGAAUAAUGAAGAUGUUUGGGUACACGUGUAAUGAAAUAGUAUUUGUCCACUCCCCUGACGAUCUUGCUUCUCCUCCUGUAAGCUUGCAUGCUUCUGUUUCAACCAGAGUUUGAAACAGCAUUUGAAGAGCAGCUGUCCAAUGAAAUUAUUAUUUUAAUAGAUUGCUCAAAUUCUAUGGCAGGCUCAGCUCUGCACCAAGGAAAGCCAAUUGCUUUACAUGUCUUGGAAAUUUUUUUUUUUCAGAGAAAGAAUGAAUAUUCAAAUUUGGCACUGAUGAGUUCCUCUAUUUCCUUUUCACCCAAGCCAGCUGUUACCUACUUGUCAUGGCUUAAUUUUACGCACAUCUUUAUUAUCAAGCCAGCAUAACACACUGAACCACGACCAAGAAUGUGUGGCAGUAUGUAAUACUUCUAUUCUGAUAAGUCAUAAAUCUUAAGCUUGUGUUUCCAUAUUGUUGCUCCAUGCUUAACAUUUUAGUGCUCUUAAAAUCAAUCUUUACUGACAGAUUUCACAGAAUUUUCUUCAUUUUCAAUGAACAUCAUACAUGAUUUGGCAACACUGAAGGGGUUUACUACAGUAAGUAAAUCACUUUGGUUGUAUUCUAAAGAAUGCUUUCUGUGUGGAAUGCUUAUCAUUGCAAAACUCUAACAUGCAACUUUUCCUUUUUUUUUCCUUUAGGCCAGCUUUCAAGAUUUUUCUGUUAUUUAGUCUAUUUUUAAAUUUGCCCUAAUAACAAGCACAAUCACAUCUGAAUAUUAUUUCCCCCUAGAUAUACCUUUUGGAGUCUCAUACCUCUUAUUGCUUGCUCACAGCAGAAAUUACUUCCUUCCUUCUGGAAAUCUGUAAUUUGUAAGUGAAGGCUGCACUUAGACCAAAGAACAUUCAGUGAAAAGGAAAAUGCUUUUGGCACCAAAGGAUCAGCUGUAAUUACUUAGGGCAAGAGGUUUUGGUUAGUGCUGUAUUUAAUCAGUGCCAGAAGUAGAUUAGAACCCAACCAAACACAAACUGCAAAAUUCCCAAUAACCCAUUACCAAGUUAAAGUGUGAAACCCAGGCGCAUGUUUGACAAACCACUAAAGUGAAUUCCCUCCCCAGUAGUGGUUCCAUGGUGAAGCAAUUAACUGGCAUUAGGCAAAUGCUGCUUUAAAGUACUUUGCAGAAAGUACCAUUUUUGUUGUCAAGAAAUAAUUUAAAUGGUAAUGUUGCUUCUUUUUUCUUCUUCCUUGGUUCCA